RNAcentral lists this ribosomal RNA (760 nucleotides) under uncultured crenarchaeote. RNAcentral's name for it is "bacterial SSU rRNA". It matches the Rfam family "Archaeal small subunit ribosomal RNA", at positions 47 to 786 of the family's 1478-position model. Lineage: Archaea; Thermoproteati; Thermoproteota. The record is from RNAcentral.
AGCCAUGCUAGUCGCGCGAGUCCAACCAUGAGGACUAGCGGCAGACCGCUCACGNAACACGUAGCUAACCUACCCUCGGGUCGCGGAUACCCCCGGGAAACUGGGGCUAAUCCACGAUAGGUGUGGAGGCCUGGAAUGGUUCCACGCUCAAAGGCACGGCGAUCACGUUUGUCGUGUGCCCGAGGAUGGGGCUGCGGCCGAUCAGGCAGUUGGCGAGGUAACGGCUCACCAAACCUUUGACCGGUACGGGCCAUGAAAGUGGUAGCCCGGAGAUGGGCACUGAGACAGGGGCCCAGGCCCUACGGGGCGCAGCAGGCGCGAAAACUCCACAAUGUACGGAAGUACGAUGGGGUUAUCUCGAGUGCAGUCCGAUAAGGGUUGCUUUUCCAUAGAGUAAUAUCCUGUGGGAAUAAGAGGGGGGCAAGACUGGUGUCAGCCGCCGCGGUAACACCAGCCCCUCGAGUGGUGGGGACUAUUAUUUGGCCUAAAGCGUCCGUAGCUGGCUGUAUCCGUCCCCCGGUAAAUCCGGCGUCCUAAGCGUCGGGCUUCGGGUGAUACCAUACAGCUAGAGGGUGGGAUAGGUGAGCGGUAUUUCUGGGGUAGGGGCGAAAUCCUUUGAUCCCAGGAGGACCACCAGUGGCGAAGGCUGCUCACUAGAACACGCCUGACGGUCAGGGACGAAAGCUGGGGCAGCGAACCGGAUUAGAUACCCGGGUAGUCCCAGCUGUAAACGAUGCUAGCUAGGUGUUGGGUCGGCCAC